RNAcentral lists this long non-coding RNA (488 nucleotides) under Capsicum annuum. RNAcentral's name for it is "long non-coding RNA (CANN_LNC013949)". The record is from RNAcentral. Lineage: Eukaryota; Viridiplantae; Streptophyta; Magnoliopsida; Solanales; Solanaceae.
CCACUAGUAACACAUAUCUAACCCUACCUCAUCUGUACCACACUCAUAAUACCCUCAUCAAUCCCACCAUCACAAAAAUCCAAUACAACAAUAUAUACAACCUCCUCCUACUCCCCAACUUCACUCGGGACCAAUAUCAUGGCUGAUAAUUUCGUAAUACUAAUUACAUCAACAAUAAUCUAGUUACAUCAAAUAACUUACUCUUUUAUAGCACACUAGAUUCAAAAUUACUUAUCAAAUGGAAUCAUGCGAAAAAAAAUGAAAUAUCCUCAAAAUACCCUAGUUUUCAAGCAUCGAGUAACUACUAACUCUGUCUACCCGAUUCUUUUGGCCAAAACUAAUGAGUUUUCUCAAUUUGGAAAUCCCACGAUAUGAAGAUGGAGAAAUAAUAGAGAAAUCAUGAAAUAUAUUACUCAGAAAGAGCACACUUUGCGGUUAUUGAAGCUAUAAUCAUAUGUAUAAAGAGAGGAAAAAGGAAAUAAUGCUGC